GUUGAAGAGGUGGGUGGCGGGAGUCUGUCAAGUGUCAGGGCCGGAGAAUGACUUGAGAAGGUGUUGGGUUACAUGGUUUCAAGAGAGGAUACAAGUAACGUUAACAGUUCCCAACAUUGGAGGAACAGAAGGCGUCUUGAGUAACUGAUGGAGAUGGCUGAAAGAGCAGAGACCGAGUACACAGAAUCGGACACAUUUUGUGAUUCACCCAGGAGAGGAAAAAUCAAAAAAUCAAAGAAAGACAAAUGUCUAAAAAAGAAUAAAACCCACAGGACAGAGUUGAAAGACACUGGUAUUGAAGACAAAAAGAAAACCAAAAAGGCCAAAGGUAAUAGGAAGAAGAAAAAGAAAGGAAAAGUAGCCCUGGGAUUACAAGAUAGCUAUUUUCUUUUUGAGGGAAACAGUGCACCAAACUCUCCAAUAAAGCCAAUUAAGUCUAGGGGGAAGUCCACUGUAAAAUUUGCUGUAAAACAUUACAUUAAGAAACAGGAACCUGUGCCAGUGGUUAGUGACUUAGUGAAGGUACCCAAGAAGAAGGCCCAGAGAAAAAAGAAAGUUGCAUUUGAUUUAUUCCCUGAUUACAUACAAGCAAAACAGCCAGAAGUAGUUAAGUGUUGCACCUCAACAACCAAAGAUACUUUUCCCUGGGAAAGCCCCAAGAGUGACAAUGAAAGCAACUUUUCUGGGACUUAUCAGUGUGGAGAGGGGCAAGAACAGGGAACAGAGUAUGGAAAGGGACAAACCAACUCUCAAAGUACUGCUGAAGAUGCCAACAGUGAGGACCUGUUCAUAACUCAGAAGAAAUUCAGAGUACUAACAUCUUCAGAUCACUCCAGCAGUGGAGGCACUGGUGAAGCCAACACCACAAAAUUGGCCAGGCAUACCAAGUCACUCAUAGAGCCAAAAGAGGAGCCACUGCUCUGGAAGUCAACAUCUGAGACAGCCACUCAAACAGAGAACUUCUUUACCUCAGAGAUCUCCACAUUCCUCAGGUUUCACCAGUCGUGUGGAGCUGCCGAGUGCUCAGAGCAACCUACUGACCUGUCUCUCCCUAACAGGACGAGGGCAGAGAUGGGCAUACAUCCCCCAUCUCAAAGAAAAGCCAAUGAAGAGGAAACCAGCCCCCCACUUGGCCAGAAGUCAGACACAACGUCAAGUGAGGAGAAUGACCCAUUCUGGCGGUGCAAGAGUCAAGUUAAGGCAGUUCAGAUGAGACUGAAUGAAUCUUUCUUCUUUAAGAUGAAGGGCGAGGGACAGUCCCCAAGACCACAAUCUCCCUUGAUGAAACUUACACAGGCCUGUGGUAGGAAGAAAACAAAAAAGUAACAAGUGAAGUUUAAACCCAAACUUCCCCUCAAGAACAAAAAAAAGUCAAAAACAAUACAAUUUUAUUAGUGAUAGUCAUUCACAAGGAUACAUUUUCUUCGUGGCGUUCUUUGUCCCAGGUUUCCAAAAUAGGUUCAUUUUAUAGUUUUAUAUGUUUUCUAAGUUGAAUUAAAAACACAUUCAAUAAAAACAUGUAUUAAUGCACAUUUUAUGGAAGAAAUUGCAUGUCACUCAUCAAAUAAAGUUUCUUAAUUUGUCAUUUUCUUACAAUCAUUUAGUGGAUCAUUAGCUGUGGUAGCAAUAGCAGCUUCAUGUGCAAUGCCAUCACCACAGUACACAUCACUAAUUGAUAACCUUUAUUAUUAGUGACAUUCAACUGAAACACUAUUCAUGUAAAGCAAGCGUACACUAAUUGUGUCUGAAUAGCUUGAUUCCAAUCCACUUCCAUAGAUGAAAAAACACAUAGACUGGGAUGGUGACUGGUAACAGAAGACUGUAGAAACACACACUGCUAGUGCUUGUACAUCCCUGAGGGAAAUUAUCAUCCACAGUUGCAGAAUAGAAAAGUCCAAAUAGGGAGACUAUAGGAA
This is a long non-coding RNA of Oncorhynchus nerka (sockeye salmon), 1916 nucleotides long. RefSeq lists it as uncharacterized. The transcript has 3 exons. Lineage: Eukaryota; Metazoa; Chordata; Actinopteri; Salmoniformes; Salmonidae. The record is from RefSeq and is a predicted model, not a curated record.